GAUGAACGCUGGCGGCGUGCCUAAUACAUGCAAGUCGAGCGAACGGACGAGAAGCUUGCUUUUCUGAUGUUAGCGGCGGACGGGUGAGUGACACGUGGAUAACCUACCUAUAAGACUGGGAUAACUUCGGGAAACCGGAGCUAAUACCGGAUAAUAUUUUGAACCGCAUGGUUCAAAAGUGAAAGACGGUCUUGCUGUCACUUAUAGAUGGAUCCGCGCUGCAUUAGCUAGUUGGUAAGGUAACGGCUUACCAAGGCAACGAUGCAUAGCCGACCUGAGAGGGUGAUCGGCCACACUGGAACUGAGACACGGUCCAGACUCCUACGGGAGGCAGCAGUAGGGAAUCUUCCGCAAUGGGCGAAAGCCUGACGGAGCAACGCCGCGUGAGUGAUGAAGGUCUUCGGAUCGUAAAACUCUGUUAUUAGGGAAGAACAUAUGUGUAAGUAACUGUGCACAUCUUGACGGUACCUAAUCAGAAAGCCACGGCUAACUACGUGCCAGCAGCCGCGGUAAUACGUAGGUGGCAAGCGUUAUCCGGAAUUAUUGGGCGUAAAGCGCGCGUAGGCGGUUUUUUAAGUCUGAUGUGAAAGCCCACGGCUCAACCGUGGAGGGUCAUUGGAAACUGGAAAACUUGAGUGCAGAAGAGGAAAGUGGAAUUCCAUGUGUAGCGGUGAGAUGCGCAGAGAUGUGGAGGAACACCAGUGGCGAAGGCGACUUUCUGGUCUGUAACUGACGCUGAUGUGCGAAAGCGUGGGGAUCAAACAGGAUUAGAUACCCUGGUAGUCCACGCCGUAAACGAUGAGUGCUAAGUGUUAGGGGGUUUCCGCCCCUUAGUGCUGCAGCUAACGCAUUAAGCACUCCGCCUGGGGAGUACGACCGCAAGGUUGAAACUCAGAGGAAUUGACGGGGGCCCGCACAAGCGGUGGAGCAUGUGGUUUAAUUCGAAGCAACGCGAAGAACCUUACCAAAUCUUGACAUCCUUUGACAACUCUAGAGAUAGAGCCUUCCCCUUCGGGGGACAAAGUGACAGGUGGUGCAUGGUUGUCGUCAGCUCGUGUCGUGAGAUGUUGGGUUAAGUCCCGCAACGAGCGCAACCCUUAAGCUUAGUUGCCAUCAUUAAGUUGGGCCCUCUAAGUUGACUGCCGGUGACAAACCGGAGGAAGGUGGGGAUGACGUCAAAUCAUCAUGCCCCUUAUGAUUUGAGCUACACACGUGCUACAAUGGACAAUACAAAGGGCAGCGAAACCGCGAGGUCAAGCAAAUCCCAUAAAGUUGUUCUCAGUUCGGAUUGUAGUCUGCAACUCGACUACAUGAAGCUGGAAUCGCUAGUAAUCGUAGAUCAGCAUGCUACGGUGAAUACGUUCCCGGGUCU
This 1372-nucleotide ribosomal RNA is filed under the name uncultured bacterium. Its description in RNAcentral is "bacterial SSU rRNA". It matches the Rfam family "Bacterial small subunit ribosomal RNA", at positions 28 to 1381 of the family's 1533-position model. The record is from RNAcentral.